Molecule: ribosomal RNA, 325 nt
Filed under: uncultured eukaryote
Lineage: Eukaryota
Description: partial 18S ribosomal RNA
Rfam family: Eukaryotic small subunit ribosomal RNA
Source: RNAcentral
CCCUUAGAUGUUCUGGGCCGCACGCGCGCUACACUGAUUCAUUCAACGAGCCUAUCCUUGACCGACAGGUCCGGGUAAUCUUUGAAUCUGCAUCGUGACGGGGAUAGAUUAUUGCAAUUAUUAAUCUUCAACGAGGAAUGCCUAGUAGGCGCAAGUCAUCAGCUUGCGUCGAUUACGUCCCUGCCCUUUGUACACACCGCCCGUCGCUCCUACCGAUUGGGUGUGCUGGUGAAAUGUUCGGAUCGGCCGUUUGUCGCGGUUUCCGCGUCAUGUGGCUGAGAAGUUCAUUAAACCCUCCCACCGAGAGGAAGGAGAAGUCGUAACA